Long non-coding RNA from Octopus sinensis (East Asian common octopus), 1085 nucleotides. RefSeq lists it as uncharacterized. The transcript is spliced from 3 exons. NCBI's taxonomy places the organism in Eukaryota, Metazoa, Mollusca, Cephalopoda, Octopoda, Octopodidae. The record is from RefSeq and is a predicted model, not a curated record.
UUCAUUUAUAGUGCUUACACUCCCCCUAUUCUCAUCGGAUCAGAAUGUAGUCUUCAAUUUCAAGACAUUUUCCUUAGAGGGAAAAAUAAAUAAACAACCAGGAAGUCAAAACGUGGCUUACUUCUACGGAAUUCCAUACUCCUUGCCACUCAUUCUCAACAACAACCCACAAUUUUAUAAACGACCCGUUGAAAUCCACGGCCGUGUAAUGAAAGGAACCUUCCAAACGAGGACCGACAACCCUGACUUGUGUCUGGGAGAAAAAGGAAUUCCAUUCUCAGGAAAAUACUGUUUGGAUUUCGACUUGUUUGUUCCGACUAACGACGAAAGUCAAAAACAGCAAAUAAAUUGUUACAAGGACAAACCCGCGUCCUUUGCUUUUGUAUGGCAUGUGGACGUUCUUGACAGAGACCGUCGGGGUCUGACUGAGGACGCUUUUAGGCUUGUUAGGGAGAGUGGGGCACUAGUCUACAUUGUCUACUAUCGGUCGGGUUUUUUGGGGUUUUUAAAGUAUUUUUUGUGAUUUAAUAAGUAUUAUUCCUGAAUUUGAAAAUCUGGGGUUCGAGGAUUUAACCAUGGCCAAUUUAAGGAUUAUUCAGUUGAGCAAACUUUUCUGUGUGUCAAUGGAGAGGAUUUUCUACAGUGGACAUUACAGUAGUGCCACAGAUCUCCUAUACUUGGCGAUGACUGAACGUUUGUAUUCGGGAUAUUACGCUUUGUUUGGACCAUCUCUGGUACUCGACUCCACUUUCCUCGCCUCCCUUCAAAGCACCAAACUUUAUGCUUACUACAACUGUACAGAGUCUUCCUGUCUAAGAAACAAACUUAAAAACGUGAAAAAAAUUUCCGAUUUGAAAGCGGUUGCUAAUUCUGUCGGUCCCUGGUUUCCCAGUGCAAAGACAGACCAACAGCCAUUCAAGAACCUUUUUUUUCUUCGUGUGAUUUACGGUUGGAAUUUGAAAUUAUUUUUUGGCUUUUCUUUCUGUGAUGGAUGUGGAAUGGCCAGACAGUGGUACUCAGGAGACAAUUACCCGCCCGUUUCUGAGCAAGAUUUGAGUACCGCUUUGAGUGCAGUGCUGCUUAAA